Molecule: transfer RNA, 74 nt
Filed under: Klebsiella pneumoniae
Lineage: Bacteria; Pseudomonadati; Pseudomonadota; Gammaproteobacteria; Enterobacterales; Enterobacteriaceae
Description: tRNA-Asp
Source: RNAcentral
GGAGUGGUAGUUGCGUUGGUUAGAAUACCUUCCUGUCACGCAGGGGGUUGCGUGUACGAGUCCCGUCCGGUCCG